Molecule: ribosomal RNA, 683 nt
Filed under: uncultured Eubacteriales bacterium
Lineage: Bacteria; Bacillati; Bacillota; Clostridia; Eubacteriales
Description: bacterial SSU rRNA
Rfam family: Bacterial small subunit ribosomal RNA
Source: RNAcentral
GCAAGUCGAACGAUGAAACUUAAAAGAUUUCUUCGGAAUGAACUUAAGUGGAUUAGUGGCGAACGGGUGAGUAACGCGUGAGUAACCUGCCUUACACAAGGGGAUAGCCUCUGGAAACGGAGAAUAAUACCCUAUGAUACUAAUACUUCGCAUGAAGCAUUAAUCAAAGUGUUAGCGGUGUAAGAUGGACUUGCGUCUGAUUAGCUAGUUGGUGAGAUAACAGCCCACCAAGGCAACGAUCAGUAGCCGGCUUGAGAGAGUGUACGGCCACAUUGGGACUGAGACACGGCCCAGACUCCUACGGGAGGCAGCAGUGGGGAAUUUUGCACAAUGGGGGCAACCCUGAUGCAGCGACGCCGCGUGAUUUAGAAGGCCUUCGGGUUGUAAAAAUCUUUUGUAUAGGAAGAAAAUGACAGUACUAUACGAAUAAGGUCCGGCUAAUUACGUGCCAGCAGCCGCGGUAAUACGUAAGGACCGAGCGUUGUCCGGAAUCAUUGGGCGUAAAGGGUACGUAGGCGGUUAGAAAAGUUAGAGGUGAAAGGCUAUAGCUCAACUAUAGUAAGCUUUUAAAACUGUUUAACUUGAGAGAUGGAAGGGAAAGUGGAAUUCCUAGUGUAGCGGUGAAAUGCGCAGAUAUUAGGAGGAAUACCGGUGGCGAGGGCGACUUUCUGGCCAUUAUCUGA